GGCUCAGAACGAACGCUGGCGGCGUGCCUAACACAUGCAAGUCGAGCGGGAAAAUGGGGGCAACUCCAUGAGUACAGCGGCGCACUGGUGAGUAACACGUAGGUAACCUACCUAUGAGUCUGGAAUAACCUGCCGAAAGGCGGGCUAAUACCGGAUAAGGCCACGGGGGCUGUGGCUCCCGGGGCAAAAGGUGGCCUCUCCAUGGAAGCUACCACUCGUAGAUGGGCCUGCGCGCCAUUAGCUAGUUGGCGGGGUAAUGGCCCACCAAGGCGAAGAUGGCUAGCUGGUCUGAGAGGAUGGCCAGCCACACUGGGACUGAGACACGGCCCAUACUCCUACGGGAGGCAGCAGUGGGGAAUAUUGCGCAAUGGGCGAAAGCCUGACGCAGCGACGCCGCGUGGGUGAUGAAGGCCUUCGGGUCGUAAAGCCCUGUCGGGAGGGACGAAACCUCGGUGACCUAAUACGUCAUCGACCUGACGGUACCUCCUAAGGAAGCACCGGCUAACUCCGUGCCAGCAGCCGCGGUAAUACGGAGGGUGCAAGCGUUGUUCGGAAUUACUGGGCGUAAAGCGCGUGUAGGCGGUCGCUUAAGUCUGAUGUGAAAGCCCGGGGCUCACCUCCGGAAGAGCAUUGGAAACUGAGCGACUCGAGUGCCGGAGAGGAGGGUGGAAUUCCUGGUGUAGCGGUGAAAUGCGUAGAUAUCAGGAGGAACACCGGUGGCGAAGGCGGCCCUCUGGACGGAUACUGACGCUGAGACGCGAAAGCGUGGGGAGCAAACAGGAUUAGAUACCCUGGUAGUCCACGCUGUAAACGAUGGGCACUAGGUGUUCGGGGUAUUGACCCCCUGAGUGCCGCAGCUAACGCAUUAAGUGCCCCGCCUGGGGACUACGGCCGCAGGUUAAACUCAAAG
RNAcentral lists this ribosomal RNA (910 nucleotides) under uncultured bacterium. RNAcentral describes it as "bacterial SSU rRNA". It matches the Rfam family "Bacterial small subunit ribosomal RNA", at positions 21 to 906 of the family's 1533-position model. The record is from RNAcentral.